Non-coding RNA from Pantherophis guttatus, 1364 nucleotides. Lineage: Eukaryota; Metazoa; Chordata; Lepidosauria; Squamata; Colubridae. The record is from RefSeq and is a predicted model, not a curated record.
AUCAUCAUGAUGGGUGGAUAUAAGACUUUGGGCCAAUACUCAGGGGACGGUAAGUUCUAAUUCUGCAUUAGCUUUGAUGACGUCUUCUGCUAAGAGGUGAGUUCCACUCCUGCCACGUGAACAGCAGACAGUAGAAUGACUUUGGCAAACAACUAAACAAUGGUAGCUGAAAGUCUUUGGGCUAAUCCUCAGCGGACGGUGAGUUCUAAUUCUGCUUUGAUUUCCUGAAGUCUUCUCCGAAAAGGUGAGUUCCACUCCUGCCAUGCAAACAACAGACCGUUGAAUGACUUUGGCGAACUACUAAAAGAUGAUGUCUCUCUUCCUGUAUUAGGCAUGGUACGUUCUCCUUCUGGAAUCCUCAUGACGGAUGGCUGAAAGACUUUGGGCCAAUACUCAGCGGACGUCAUGUUGAAUUCUACUCCAGCAAUAUUCACAAAAGUUCGCUGAAUGACUUUGGGCCAAUAAGAAGGAUAUUAUCUAGGAAGGAGGGAAAAGGAAACCACUUCUGAAAAAUUUGCCAAAAAAUGGAGACGGAUUUCUUCAGGCAAUCUUUGAGAAAUUGAACCGUCUGAAUAGAAGAAAAAAGAGCAAUGGAUGAUGAAGAUGGAAGGGACCCUCCUCAGCGUACUACGUCCUGGCUGAGACCACAGUGUGGCCGGACAGAGGCCCCUUCGGCCCCCAGGAAGACCAACGACGCCCAUUGCGUGAUCCGAAGUCAUCGACUGAAGUGGGACCACAGCCAUUUCACCGGGCAAUUGGCUGAAUGAACCACACCCACUUGAUGCUGCCCCGUAUCAUCCGACAAGUGUGGAGCAGUGGUGGGAUUCCAAUAAUUCAACAACCACUUGUCUACCCUAAUGACCGGCUGGGUGGGCGUGGCCAUGGUGGGUGUGGCCAGGGGGUAUUAUUGGCAGCACUCAGCCUCCUGCACCCCCCUGGGAGGAAAAACGGGCUGCGGGGGGAGGGGGAAUACGCCACCACCCUGUGCCCCAUUUUGGGCCUAGUUGGCCUCCCUGGUGCCUCUUGGGAGCAAAAACAGGCCUUAGGGUGGCCGCACCGCACCCCCCGCCAUGUUUUGGGCCUAGUAGGCCUCCCUGCAGCCUCCCGGGAGUGAAAAUGGGCCUUAGGGUGGCCACGCCGCAUCCCCCGCCCUGUUUUGGGCCUAGUAGGCCUCCCUGCAGCCUCCUGGAAGUGAAAAUGGGCCUUAGGGUGGCUGUACUGCACACCCCGCCCUGUUUUGGGCCUAGUAGGCCUCCCUGCAGCCUCCUGGGAGUGAAAAUGGGCCUUAGGGUGGCCGUAUCGCACACCCCGCCCUGUUUUGGGCCUAGUAGGCCUCCCUGCAGCCUCCUGGGAGUGAAAAUGGG